This 370-nucleotide ribosomal RNA is filed under the name uncultured bacterium. RNAcentral's name for it is "bacterial SSU rRNA". It matches the Rfam family "Bacterial small subunit ribosomal RNA", at positions 28 to 381 of the family's 1533-position model. The record is from RNAcentral.
GACGAACGCUGGCGGCGUGCUUAACACAUGCAAGUCGAGCGGUAAGGCCCUUUCGGGGGUACACGAGCGGCGAACGGGUGAGUAACACGUGGGUGACCUGCCCUCAGCUCUGGGAUAAGCCUGGGAAACUGGGUCUAAUACCGGAUAUUCUCUUUGCCUCGCAUGGGGUGUGGAGGAAAGUCCUGGGCUUAAUUGUCUGGGCUCGGCUGGGGGAUGGGGCCCGCGGCCUAUCAGCUUGNGGUGGGGUGAUGGCCUACCAAGGCGACGACGGGUAGCCGGCCUGAGAGGGCGACCGGCCACACUGGGACUGAGACACGGCCCAGACUCCUACGGGAGGCAGCAGUGGGGAAUAUUGCGCAAUGGGCGGAAG